CCCUUAGAUGUCCUGGGCCGCACGCGCGCUACACUGAGUGUCUGAGAUACGAGUCUGCCUGGUCCGGCAAGGUCUAGGUAAUCGCUAAAAGACACAUCAUGCUUGGGAUAGAUUAUUGCAAAUAUUAAUCUUGAACGAGGAAUUCCUAGUAAGCGCAAGUCAACAGCUUGCGUUGAUUACGUCCCUGCCCUCUGUACACACCGCCCGUCGCUACUACUGAUUGGAUGUUUAAGCGAGGUUCUCGAACUGCUAGCGACUUAGCUUCGGUGAGGUCGCAGUGUGGGAAGUGAACCUAGCUUUGGUGUCUAGAGGAAGUAAAAGUCGUAACA
This 329-nucleotide ribosomal RNA is filed under the name uncultured eukaryote. RNAcentral's name for it is "partial 18S ribosomal RNA". It matches the Rfam family "Eukaryotic small subunit ribosomal RNA", at positions 1470 to 1796 of the family's 1831-position model. The record is from RNAcentral.